This 1249-nucleotide ribosomal RNA is filed under the name Gloeochaete wittrockiana. RNAcentral describes it as "partial Bacterial large subunit ribosomal RNA". It matches the Rfam family "Bacterial large subunit ribosomal RNA", at positions 155 to 1446 of the family's 2925-position model. The record is from RNAcentral. Lineage: Eukaryota; Glaucocystophyceae; Gloeochaetales; Gloeochaetaceae.
GAAGUGAAUAAAAUAGCUUUGGUGAAGCGAACCCGGGGAACUGAAACAUCUCAGUACCCGGAGGAAAGGACAUCAACAGAGACUCCGCUAGUAGUGGCGAGCGAACGCGGACCAGGCCAGUGAUACAUCAAAGACAAUCGGAACCUGUCAGGAAAGCAGGGCCUCAGAGGGUGAUAGCCCCGUACGAGUAAUGCGAUGAUGUAUCCACGAGUAAGGCGGGACACGUGUAAUCCUGUCUGAACAUAGGGGGACCACCCUCUAAGCCUAAAUACUCGUAUGCGACCGAUAGCGAACUAGUACCGUGAGGGAAAGGUGAAAAGCACCCCGAUGAGGGGAGUGAAACAGUACCUGAAACCGAAUGCCUACAAGCAGUAGGAGGGUCCUUGAGGCCUGACUGCGUACCUCUUGCAUAAUGGGUCAGUGACUUAGUGUAUCAAGCAAGCUUAAGCCGAUAGGUGUAGGCGCAGCGAAAGCGAGUCUGAAUAGGGCGAAUGAGUUUGAUGCAUUAGACCCGAAACCCGGUGAUCUAGGCAUGACCAGGCUGAAGGUGCGGUAACACGCACUGGAGGGCCGAACCGUUCAAUGUUGAAAAAUUGUCGGAUGAGUUGUGUUUAGGGGUGAAAGGCCAAUCAAGCCGGGAAAUAGCUGGUUCUCCGCGAAAUCUAUUGAGGUAGAGCGUCGGACGAAUACCUUGGGGGGUAGAGCACUGGAUGGAUGCGGGGGUCGCGAGAUCUACCAAUUCUAACCAAACUCCGAAUACCCAAGAGUACUAUCCGGCAGACAGACGGUGGGUGCUAACGUCCAUCGUCAAAAGGGAAACAACCCUGACCGCCAGCUAAGGCCCCCAAAUCAUGGCUAAGUGUGAAAGGAUGUGGGGAUCCCAAAACAACCAGGAUGUUGGCUUAGAAGCAGCCAUCAUUUAAAGAAAGCGUAACAGCUCACUGGUCUAAAUAAGGGUCUUUGCGCCGAAAAUGUAACGGGGCUAAAGCCAUACACCGAAGCUUAGGGUUCGUGAGCAAUCACGAGCGGUAGCGGAGCGUUCUGUAAGCCAGUGAAGGGAGACCCGUGAGGGCUCCUGGAGGUAUCAGAAGUGCGAAUGCUGACAUGAGUAGCGUUAAAGGGGGUGAAAAGCCCCCUCGCCGUAAGCGCAAGGUUUUCUACGCAACGUUCAUCGGCGUAGAGUGAGUCGGCCCCUAAGGCGAGGCAGAGAUGCGUAGCUGAUGGGAAACAGGUCAAUAUUCCUGUACCG